AAACACUGGCGGCGUGCCUAACACAUGCAAGUCGAACGAAGCACUGUGGAAAGAGACUCGGUCAAUUGAAACUUUGACUUAGUGGCGGACGUGUGAGUAAUGCAUGAGCAACCUGCCCUGGAGAGGGGGACAACAGCUGGAAACGGCUGCUAAUACCGCAUGAAGUCGUCGGAGGGCAUCCUCUGACGACCAAAGAUUUAUCGCUCUGGGAUGGGCUCAUGUCUGAUUAGAUAGUUGGCGGGGCAACGGCCCACCAAGUCUGCGAUCAGUAGCCGGACUGAGAGGUUGAACGGCCACAUGGGACUGAGAUACGGCCCAGACUCCUACGGGAGGCAGCAGUGGGGAAUAUUGGGCAAUGGGCGCAAGCCUGACCCAGCAACGCCGCGUGAAGGAAGAAGGCUUUCGGGUUGUAAACUUCUUUUAUCAGGGACGAAGAAAGUGACGGUACCUGAUGAAUAAGCCACGGCUAACUACGUGCCAGCCGCUGC
Molecule: ribosomal RNA, 488 nt
Filed under: uncultured bacterium
Lineage: Bacteria
Description: bacterial SSU rRNA
Rfam family: Bacterial small subunit ribosomal RNA
Source: RNAcentral